This 1823-nucleotide long non-coding RNA is filed under the name Physcomitrium patens. Its description in RNAcentral is "long non-coding RNA (PPAT_LNC000757)". Lineage: Eukaryota; Viridiplantae; Streptophyta; Bryopsida; Funariales; Funariaceae. The record is from RNAcentral.
ACGUAGGAGAGUUCCAGCUUAUCCAUGAUAUACAUGGCUUGUUUUACGCUUUCCAACCUCUCCGGUAGCUGACUUACGAAUAUUUCAAUGUGCAUUCUUUCAUUAAUAUGCACAGAAUCCUCGAGAUUUAGCUUGUUGGCGACCGUCUUGAUCUUGACCAGGUAAGCUUGCAUGGAUUCUUGGGAUGGGUGCUUAAUCUUUAUUAGUUCCACGAGAAGGGAUACUGUUCUUUCAAGUCCGGUCUGAUCAAAAUUCUCUUUCAAUGUACUCCAUGCAUCUCGAGCGGUAGUGCAAUCCUUGAUGUAGUUCAUUAUUUCCAUGCCCAUGGCGGAUGCGAUGAUUCGUGUCUCUUGACUGUCUUUAUCGAAGUCGAAAGCGCUGUCGGAUGCAUCGAUGUAGUUGGCAGCAAGUCUUUUGGUCUCGAUCGCGCGCCUGGCUGCUUUCUCGGCCGUGGAUUCAUCUGUCGUCGUGGACUCGGACUUGGAUGCCGCACAUUCCGCCUUUGGAGCCACAUACUUCCAUAAUCCUCUGCGUUUCAGGAUGAAUUGAAGCUGGGUAGACCAUUUGAGGAAGUUGGAACCGUCGAACAUGCGGACACUGUCUGAUUGUGUCAUCUUGGCAGAGUCUUGCUUGUGGAUCGUCGUCGUCGAUGAAAUGCGGAGUUGUUUUGGAGAGAUUGGGCUGAUGGCUUGGCGAAUGUGGUAUUUUCUGUUUAAGUGCGGGUUGGGCUCAUAACCUAUUAGAGUUUAAGCGUUUAGGAAAUGGUAGAAGAGAUUACUUUAUUUUUGAUGUAAAGUUGGGUUGCAUUUAUACUACAGAAGUCUUGGAUUUAUGGGGUUAUCUCGAAGGUCUCGAACUGUUUCAUUGGUUUUGAAUAAGGGUAAGGGCAAUUCGGGAUGUCAGGAGACCGCAUGUUGCUGAUACAAUAAAUUCCUCGAGUCUUUAUCAGUUGACCACGAUUUCCGUGAGGUAUUCGCUGGCUUGGAGCUCAACAACAUAAUUGUUGGAGUUUUGAGAAGUAGGUUUUAAGGUCGACAUAUUAGUAUGUAUAUCGUGAUGUACUAGAAAUUUUGGAAAUGACGUAAUUGUGUACAAUUACUGUAUGUUAGAUCUUAUUAUUAGAAAUGUAGGGAUGUGUUGAAACAUUGUUCUGUAUAAGGGAACUAACUUUCAUUGAAUAGUAAUUAUCAAGACAUUGGCUACAAGGAGGUGGAAAAAAAGCUGCUAGUGACAUAUUUAGCUACAAAAUCUAGGUAUGUGAACAUUUGAUGACUUAUUCAAAUGUGACAACCAUUUAUUAUGGUGAUUGAUUAAGCAUUAGAUAAUUGUUAUAUAAGACAUUGAUAAUGAAGAUUGUGAGAAUGUAUAAGAGAAUGUAGAGGUCCUAAAAAUUAAAUUUAAUAAGUUAUAAAAUGUGUUGUUUUUCUUUUAUACAAGUAGUAUUUAUGUGUAGAGUGAAAAUGAAUUGUACAUAAGUAAAUAAAAUUUGAUAAGAAAUUAAACUAUGAUUGUUAUAUGAUGGUAAUAUUGGAUAAAUUGAAGAACUUACAUAAAACAAAACUUACAUAAAACAAAACUUAAUUGGUGAUAAAUAGAUAUAGCACUAAUAGUAAGUGAAUAGAAAAGAAUGGAAGAAAAGUAGAUUUAAAGAGUAUGUAUAGAAUAGAAUAUCAAAUAUUAUUUGAUGUGAGAAAGAAUUCACAAUGUGGCACUUGAUGUAGUAAUUUAUAUACUAUGCACAACUAAAAGUUUGUGCAUGAGAGAAGCAUUUUAUAUUGAAAGUAUGAUAAUGAUCAGUACUAAACAUUAUUUGUAUGAUUUCA